This 341-nucleotide ribosomal RNA is filed under the name Heterotricha takkae. RNAcentral's name for it is "partial 16S ribosomal RNA". Lineage: Eukaryota; Metazoa; Arthropoda; Insecta; Diptera; Diadocidiidae. The record is from RNAcentral.
UUUUUUAAUUGAAAACUUGUAUGAAUGAUUGAAUGAGAUAUUAACUGUUUCAUAAAAAUUAUAAUAGAAUUUUACUUUUUAGUUAAAAGGCUAAAAUAUUAUUAUAGGACGAGAAGACCCUAUAGAGUUUUAUAUUAAUUGAUUUAUUAUUUAUUUAGUAGUUUUAAAAUUUUAUUUUAAUUAUUAUUUUGUUGGGGUGACAAUAAAAUUUAUAAAACUUUUAUUAUUUUUUAACAUUAAUAAAUGACUAAUUGAUCCAGUUAUAUUGAUUAAAAAUUUAAAUUACCUUAGGGAUAACAGCGUAAUUUUUUUUUAGAGUUCAUAUCGAUAAAAAAUUUUGC